CGGGCUGUAGCGCAGCGGUAGCGCGCUUCGUUCGGGACGAAGAGGCCGCGGGUUCGAUCCCCGCCAGCCCGACCA
RNAcentral lists this transfer RNA (75 nucleotides) under Candidatus Uhrbacteria bacterium. RNAcentral's name for it is "tRNA-Pro". It matches the Rfam family "tRNA". From Rfam's summary of the family: Transfer RNA (tRNA) molecules are approximately 80 nucleotides in length. Their secondary structure includes four short double-helical elements and three loops (D, anti-codon, and T loops). Lineage: Bacteria; Candidatus Uhriibacteriota. The record is from RNAcentral.